UACGUAGGGUGCAAGCGUUGUCCGGAAUUAUUGGGCGUAAAGAGCUCGUAGGUGGCCUGUCGCGUCGGCUGUGAAAACUCGGGGGCUCAACUCCGAGCUUGCAGUCGAUACGGGGCAGGCUAGAGUUCGGCAGGGGAGACUGGAAUUCCUGGUGUAGCGGUGAAAUGCGCAGAUAUCAGGAGGAACACCGGUGGCGAAGGCGGGUCUCUGGGCCGAUACUGACACUGAGGAGCGAAAGCGUGGGGAGCGAACAGG
Molecule: ribosomal RNA, 255 nt
Filed under: uncultured bacterium
Lineage: Bacteria
Description: partial 16S ribosomal RNA
Rfam family: Bacterial small subunit ribosomal RNA
Source: RNAcentral